This 253-nucleotide ribosomal RNA is filed under the name uncultured bacterium. RNAcentral describes it as "partial 16S ribosomal RNA". It matches the Rfam family "Bacterial small subunit ribosomal RNA", at positions 524 to 776 of the family's 1533-position model. The record is from RNAcentral.
UACGAAGGGGGCUAGCGUUGCUCGGAAUCACUGGGCGUAAAGGGUGCGUAGGUGGGUCUUUAAGUCAGGGGUGAAAUCCUGGAGCUCAACUCCAGAACUGCCUUUGAUACUGGGAAGCUUGAGUCCGGGAGAGGUGAGUGGAACUCCGAGUGUAGAGGUGAAAUUCGUAGAUAUUCGGAAGAACACCAGUGGCGAAGGCGGCUCACUGGCCCGGUACUGACGCUGAGGUGCGAAAGCGUGGGGAGCAAACAGG